This 64-nucleotide transfer RNA is filed under the name Plectrocnemia tortosa. Its description in RNAcentral is "tRNA-Thr". The record is from RNAcentral. Lineage: Eukaryota; Metazoa; Arthropoda; Insecta; Trichoptera; Polycentropodidae.
GUUUUAAUAAUUUAAAUAAAAUUUUAAUUUUGUAAAUUAAAUAUAAGAUAAAACUUUUAAAACU